Molecule: ribosomal RNA, 326 nt
Filed under: uncultured eukaryote
Lineage: Eukaryota
Description: partial 18S ribosomal RNA
Rfam family: Eukaryotic small subunit ribosomal RNA
Source: RNAcentral
CCCUAGAUGUUCUGGGCCGCACGCGCGCUACACUGAUGAAUGCAACGAGCUCUACCCUUGACCGAAAGGCCCGGGUAAACUUGUGAAACUUCAUCGUGAUGGGGAUAGAUUAUUGCAAUUAUUAAUCUUCAACGAGGAAUUCCUAGUAAGCGCGAGUCAUCAGCUCGCGUUGAUUACGUCCCUGCCCUUUGUACACACCGCCCGUCGCUCCUACCGAUUGAAUGGUCCGGUGAAAUCUUCGGAUUGCUGACCAAGAUCCAGCAAUGGAGCUUGGUUGCGAGAAGUUGAUUAAACCUUAUUAUUUAGAGGAAGGAGCAGUCGUAACA